This is a long non-coding RNA of Ricinus communis (castor bean), 1176 nucleotides long. RefSeq lists it as uncharacterized. The transcript has 2 exons. Lineage: Eukaryota; Viridiplantae; Streptophyta; Magnoliopsida; Malpighiales; Euphorbiaceae. The record is from RefSeq and is a predicted model, not a curated record.
AUCAAAAUGGGAAAUGGAUAUCCUGACCAUCAUAAAAUCAAUACCCACUUCGUGGAUUAGUUGAACUUGGAACACAGUAGUUAUGAUUAAACAUAUUGCAGCACAAACCUUCCAAAAUCACUGGUAGGUAAAACUGGUAGCAGUUAAAACAGAGUUGUGAGCAUUAAAUAAAAGUUACAUUCCAACCAUUGCCAAGCAUGUUGACACAGAGAAGGACAGGAAAAAUAAACAAAAGAUGGAGACUGCUCCUACAUCUUUAUCAGCUUGAAUUUUCUUCCUCACCACAUUAUUCCAUUGCAAGAUUUUCUCAUGUACAACUAAAAGUAUCUUGUUCUUAAUAUCUAAGCAACAAGGACCUCUCUCCUCUCUCUCAAACUCCUAUUGUUCUGUUUUCCAUUGAUUUUGGUGCCAUCCAUGGUUUUAUUAUAACAGACAAGACAUGAAAGAAGAAGACUUUGAGGAUGGAACCUUUGUUGGGGUCUAGAAAGGCUUAAACAAGAUGUAAUUCUUACUGAAAUACUAGCAACUAUCUCAACCUCUGCUGGACCACAUGACAGGGAUAUGUUAAGGAGAGCAAUAGUAAAGGAUGAUGGCAAAUUGGACUGUCCAUCAUGGUCUCCAAUGGAGCUGUCAUGGUGCUGUGAAAAGUUGGGUGCUCUGUGAAAAUAUGGAUAUUGUGGCACAGAUCUCAUAUUCAAGAGAAAAUGUCAAUGGACAGGUAUAUGGUAUUGUAUUUCUGAAAAGAAACAUAAAACUAAUAACAUACAUUCAAAAUUGCCCAAAGAACAGCUAAAAGAAUGUCAAUACAGAAUAAAGAAACAAUAAUAUCAAAGUGAGUCGAUAGAGUUACAAUCAAAUGGAUGUUGCAAUAGAAAAGAGGUGAAGGGGGUGAUAUGAUAAAAUGAAAGGGAAUUGAUGGUGUAUGUCAACAAAAAGUGGGGGAAUUUCUGUAGAAGAUUUCCGAAGUCUAACUCAGUGAGACGGGUCACUAGACUCACUAGACUAUCAGUAACCAUUGGCACUUGAAGUUUACUUCCUGGUGGUCCAGAUGUAUCAAAACUGAUUCAUAACAAAAUCUGGAGCUGAAUUGUAAUUGUUUAAAAAUUGACCGCAGAAUAGGAGCUUCGAUAACCUUCUGUACGUCCUCUGAAUCUCCGCACCAAAGAUGCAAAAGAA